RNAcentral lists this transfer RNA (64 nucleotides) under Tenerus hilleri. Its description in RNAcentral is "tRNA-His". Lineage: Eukaryota; Metazoa; Arthropoda; Insecta; Coleoptera; Cleridae. The record is from RNAcentral.
AUCUAAAUAGUUUAAUUAAAAAUUUUAAUUUGUGGAAUUAAAGAUAUAGAAUUUAUUUUGGAUA